This is a long non-coding RNA of Armigeres subalbatus, 751 nucleotides long. RefSeq lists it as uncharacterized. The transcript is spliced from 2 exons. NCBI's taxonomy places the organism in Eukaryota, Metazoa, Arthropoda, Insecta, Diptera, Culicidae. The record is from RefSeq and is a predicted model, not a curated record.
CUUAUUUGGUGAAAUUUUAAUUACUUUGUGCUGUGUAUUUUUCAAUAAUUUAGGGUCAGCAAAAUCGCCAUACGUUGCAUCAUUGUAUCAAAGCAACUUUGUGAGCCCACAGUCUAAAAAAUCAUGGUUAGUAGAAAUACCUAAUGUAGUUACUUCUGAAAAUUAAUAAGCGUAAACUUUAGAAGAACACAAUGUGAAUACCGAACAUAUCUGUAACAUAAAACGACAAGUGAAACAAAAACAGAAAAAGGUCCGUGUAAAAGGGCCUUUUUCUUUCUAUUAUUUUCCGAGUGUUUCAUCAUUGCUGUACCCUGAAUGGACUUCCCGGAAGGUCCGCGUCCGGUGAAUGCAUCGUGCCAAAAUCGUGGUCAUCGUUUAGAUUUCUGGUGCAGUACGAACCGUCUCUCGACUUGGGUGACGCAAUCCAUCCCGACAGCCUGUUGUUCUUCAUUGUCAGGCCGCCAUCUUCUAAAGAUCGUCGAGCACCGAAAUCGGCAGCGCACGCCAUCGUUCAUGAAUGGACUCACAUUACCGUCGAUCAACAAGAAAGGACACUGAAGUGCUACGUCACCGUAAGCACAGACCGGACAAAUAGCAAGCCCUUGGUCAUCGCAAUCCCCGAUAGCCCCCCUUUAUGAUGGGCUGUCGAUAUACAAAACCACCACCUAGGAUUCGGAUCCGAAAACAAGAACUAAACAUGCAAGUACCCAUUAUGUAACGUCACUAAUAAAAUUGUUAAAUGUUAAACCUC